AGAGUUUGAUCCUGGCUCAGGAUGAACGCUGGCGGCGUGCUUAACACAUGCAAGUCGAACGAUGAUCCCAGCUUGCUGGGGGAUUAGUGGCGAACGGGUGAGUAACACGUGAGUAACCUGCCCUUAACUCUGGGAUAAGCCUGGGAAACUGGGUCUAAUACCGGAUAUGACUCCUCAUCGCAUGGUGGGGGGUGGAAAGCUUUAUUGUGGUUUUGGAUGGACUCGCGGCCUAUCAGCUUGUUGGUGAGGUAAUGGCUCACCAAGGCGACGACGGGUAGCCGGCCUGAGAGGGUGACCGGCCACACUGGGACUGAGACACGGCCCAGACUCCUACGGGAGGCAGCAGUGGGGAAUAUUGCACAAUGGGCGAAAGCCUGAUGCAGCGACGCCGCGUGAGGGAUGACGGCCUUCGGGUUGUAAACCUCUUUCAGUAGGGAAGAAGCGAAAGUGACGGUACCUGCAGAAGAAGCGCCGGCUAACUACGUGCCAGCAGCCGCGGUAAUACGUAGGGCGCAAGCGUUAUCCGGAAUUAUUGGGCGUAAAGAGCUCGUAGGCGGUUUGUCGCGUCUGCCGUGAAAGUCCGGGGCUCAACUCCGGAUCUGCGGUGGGUACGGGCAGACUAGAGUGAUGUAGGGGAGACUGGAAUUCCUGGUGUAGCGGUGAAAUGCGCAGAUAUCAGGAGGAACACCGAUGGCGAAGGCAGGUCUCUGGGCAUUAACUGACGCUGAGGAGCGAAAGCAUGGGGAGCGAACAGGAUUAGAUACCCCGGUAGUCC
RNAcentral lists this ribosomal RNA (775 nucleotides) under uncultured Arthrobacter sp. Its description in RNAcentral is "bacterial SSU rRNA". It matches the Rfam family "Bacterial small subunit ribosomal RNA", at positions 8 to 796 of the family's 1533-position model. The record is from RNAcentral. Lineage: Bacteria; Bacillati; Actinomycetota; Actinomycetes; Micrococcales; Micrococcaceae.